Molecule: small nuclear RNA, 133 nt
Organism: Piliocolobus tephrosceles (Ugandan red Colobus)
Lineage: Eukaryota; Metazoa; Chordata; Mammalia; Primates; Cercopithecidae
Source: Ensembl
GUACUGGGAUUAUGGGCGUGAGCCACCACACACCGCCUAGCAUAUAUGUUAAUAUUGGAUGAUACAAAGUAGAUUAGCAUGCCUCCUGUGAAAGGAUGACAUGCUGAAAUGGAAAUUCGUGCUCCAUAUUUUU